UUAGGGGUAUGCUGCUGUGUUAGUUUUGGGUAUUAGUAAUUGAUUCAUAGUUUGAAUUGUUGCUGAUAAUGGUUAUGAAUUUGAGGAAGGGCAGAAAGGAAUGUUGGACGAGCCAAGGAAGUGUAAUUGUAGCAAAGGUGGUUUGUGAGUGUAAAGAUAAAUUCUUGGGUGUAGAGAGUAAUCUGGUUGCAGCCCUUUCGCAAUUAAUAAUAAGGUGAAUCCCUUGGCUUCUAUUGUUACUCUAAAGUGUUUAGUGUUUUUCGAUUUGGAGUAUCUUGUAUUAGUAUUGAGAUGUUAAAGAAUGGGAAUUAAGGGAUUUGUUAUUCAUUUAUGCAAUGUAAUUUUAUUUAGGGACUAGUCUUAAGUCUUGGAUUAGACUAUUGGCUAAGGCUAAAGAUAGCUGAUAAUCUGGAAGCAGUUGAGAUUAUUAACUUACGGUUUGGGUUAAUUUUCUAAUUAAAGGACUCAAGUAUGUGCCUAUGGACGUAAAUGAAAGUUGAGCUAUUGUAUCAGAAUGAAGGAAGAAGAAGGCAAGAAGAAAUCAAAGAAAACUAGAAAGAUUUUGUUCAUUUACAGACUUGGAUUGAAUAUUACAGAGAGAAUGUUUUUAUACUAUCUCAAAAUAACCACAUCUGACCUAAUACCUAUUAUACCCUUAAUAUCCCCCUCAAACAUAUGUUUGGGUAUGUUUGGUACCCAAACAUGUGUUUGCAGCAGUAACAUCAUAUGUAACUAAGAAGGAAAUGAGGCACUGUGAUGAAGAUUGUAGACCAAGUAUUUUAACCUGGAGGAAUGAGAGGCAAAUACUGAGAAGUAUUUACAUAUGAUAAGGAGUUCCAUAGACUUGGUGGAGAAGAGAAUGAAUUAGCCAUAACUUGAGGUUGUAUGUAGUAACAGCUUUUAGCAGAAUGCCCUUUCCUCUUGCAAAUUUGACACUCAAUGAAUGAACUUGAUGGAAAGUUUAGAAGCUGAGAUUUCCUAUAACCACAACGGUACGCACAAUGUCCUCGUUUGCCACAAAAAUAGCACACAACAAUAUUAGAUCGAUUUUUCUGGCUAAAGAAACUCCCAUUUGCUGGAGAGAUACCAUUAGUGUGAGGGUGAAUAGACAUAGAACCUGACGAANAAGGACUAAAAGNGUGAUUCAGAGUAG
This 1153-nucleotide long non-coding RNA is filed under the name Fragaria vesca (wild strawberry). RNAcentral's name for it is "long non-coding RNA (FVES_LNC004773)". The record is from RNAcentral. Lineage: Eukaryota; Viridiplantae; Streptophyta; Magnoliopsida; Rosales; Rosaceae.